CUGGGCAGACGGGCAGUCGCUGACUGGUUCCCCUCUUUACGGGGGUGCUGGUUGGAGGAAAGUCCGGUCUCCAUAGGGCAGCAUGCCGGCUAACGGCCGGGGGGGUUCGCUCAAAGCGGAUUUCACGGACAGUGCCACAGAAAAUAUACCGCCUCCUUGUGAGGUAAGGGUGAAAAGGUGCGGUAAGAGCGCACCGCGUGCGGAGUAAUCCGCACGGCAGGGAAAACCCCAUGCGGAGCAAGACCAAAUAGGGGAGGAGGAGCGGCCCGUUCCGUUCAACUUCCGGGUAGGUUGCUAGAGCCAGGCAGUAAUGUCUGGCCCAGAGGAAUGACUGCCACCUCGCCGAUCCGGCGGGGUACAGAAACCGGCUUACAGUCUGCGCAGGCUC
This 388-nucleotide RNase P RNA is filed under the name Acidobacteriaceae bacterium. RNAcentral's name for it is "RNase P RNA component class A". It matches the Rfam family "Bacterial RNase P class A". Rfam says of the family: Ribonuclease P (RNase P) is a ubiquitous endoribonuclease, found in archaea, bacteria and eukarya as well as chloroplasts and mitochondria. Its best characterised activity is the generation of mature 5'-ends of tRNAs by cleaving the 5'-leader elements of precursor-tRNAs. Lineage: Bacteria; Pseudomonadati; Acidobacteriota; Terriglobia; Terriglobales; Acidobacteriaceae. The record is from RNAcentral.